RNAcentral lists this ribosomal RNA (764 nucleotides) under Staphylococcus pasteuri. RNAcentral describes it as "bacterial SSU rRNA". It matches the Rfam family "Bacterial small subunit ribosomal RNA", at positions 32 to 778 of the family's 1533-position model. The record is from RNAcentral. Lineage: Bacteria; Bacillati; Bacillota; Bacilli; Caryophanales; Staphylococcaceae.
AACGCUGGCGGCGUGCCUAAUACAUGCAAGUCGAGCGAACAGAUAAGGAGCUUGCUCCUUUGACGUUAGCGGCGGACGGGUGAGUAACACGUGGAUAACCUACCUAUAAGACUGGGAUAACUUCGGGAAACCGGAGCUAAUACCGGAUAAGAUUUUGAACCGCAUGGUUCAAUAGUGAAAGACGGCCUUGCUGUCACUUAUAGAUGGAUCCGCGCCGUAUUAGCUAGUUGGUAAGGUAACGGCUUACCAAGGCAACGAUACGUAGCCGACCUGAGAGGGUGAUCGGCCACACUGGAACUGAGACACGGUCCAGACUCCUACGGGAGGCAGCAGUAGGGAAUCUUCCGCAAUGGGCGAAAGCCUGACGGAGCAACGCCGCGUGAGUGAUGAAGGUCUUCGGAUCGUAAAACUCUGUUAUCAGGGAAGAACAAACGUGUAAGUAACUGUGCACGUCUUGACGGUACCUGAUCAGAAAGCCACGGCUAACUACGUGCCAGCAGCCGCGGUAAUACGUAGGUGGCAAGCGUUAUCCGGAAUUAUUGGGCGUAAAGCGCGCGUAGGCGGUUUUUUAAGUCUGAUGUGAAAGCCCACGGCUCAACCGUGGAGGGUCAUUGGAAACUGGAAAACUUGAGUGCAGAAGAGGAAAGUGGAAUUCCAUGUGUAGCGGUGAAAUGCGCAGAGAUAUGGAGGAACACCAGUGGCGAAGGCGACUUUCUGGUCUGUAACUGACGCUGAUGUGCGAAAGCGUGGGGAUCAAACAGGAU